Molecule: long non-coding RNA, 222 nt
Organism: Sebastes umbrosus (honeycomb rockfish)
Lineage: Eukaryota; Metazoa; Chordata; Actinopteri; Perciformes; Sebastidae
Exons: 2
Source: RefSeq, a predicted model, not a curated record
AGAUUUGGUGUGAAAGUGGUUGUUUUUAUUUCCAGUAUGGGGCCCAAAUGAGUGAUUGCAGGGAGGCAGCAGGAACACAGUUAUAUCUACACGGAUGCUUAUGCGAACCAAAUAUGAGACAUCACGGAGAUUGGCGUUUGUCCUGCGUACAGCUGGUGGGCCCGGCCUCUCCUUGACACGACAGGAAAAAAUGUCACAGAAUAAAACAGGAAACACUCUCUU